This 303-nucleotide ribosomal RNA is filed under the name Triticum aestivum (bread wheat). Its description in RNAcentral is "partial small subunit ribosomal RNA". Lineage: Eukaryota; Viridiplantae; Streptophyta; Magnoliopsida; Poales; Poaceae. The record is from RNAcentral.
AUGCAGGUGCUACUGGGUGAUUUUGUAGGAGCAACAACUUGGUUCCUACCACAUGUUAUCACUGUCGAUUCUACGGAAUUUAUAGCAGUUCAGAAUGGUAUGUUCUUGGCGGCUAACAUGGGGUGCAACAGUAUAGAGAUCGAGUCUGACUGUAGUUUUGCGGUGAACUCUGUGCAACUGAUGGACGAGUACUUGGGCCCGAAUGUUACAGUGAUAAUUGAGUGCAAGCAAAUGCGACGGAGUUUCGAAGAUCUACUUAUAUGCACCCUUGCCGUGAAGCUAAUCAAGUUGUUGAUGAGUUAG